CCCGGGGCCCGGAGCGGCCAGAGCAGCUCGCACGCUGACUCCAGCCCGGCUCCCGCUCCGGGCUCUGCCAGCGGGC
Molecule: microRNA precursor, 76 nt
Organism: Bos indicus x Bos taurus (hybrid cattle)
Lineage: Eukaryota; Metazoa; Chordata; Mammalia; Artiodactyla; Bovidae
Source: Ensembl